AAUCAACGCUGGCGGCGUGCCUAACACAUGCAAGUCGCACGAGAAAGGGUCUUCGGAUCUGAGUAAAGUGGCGCACGGGUGAGUAACACGUGAAUUAUCUACCUUCGAGUGGGGAAUAACUUCGGGAAACCGAGGCUAAUACCGCAUAAUAUCUACGGAUCGAAGCAGUAAUGCGCUUGAAGAGGAGUUCGCGGCAGAUUAGUUAGUUGGCGGGGUAAUGGCCCACCAAGACGAUGAUCUGUAUCCGGCCUGAGAGGGCGCACGGACACACUGGAACUGAAACACGGUCCAGACUCCUACGGGAGGCAGCAGAGGGGAAUUUUGCGCAAUGGGGGAAACCCUGACGCAGCAACGCCGCGUGGAGGAUGAAGUCUCUUGGGACGUAAACUCCUUUCGAUAGGGAAGAUUAUGACGGUACCUAUAGAAGAAGCCCCGGCUAACUUCGUGCCAGCCGCCGCCGUAA
This 463-nucleotide ribosomal RNA is filed under the name uncultured bacterium. RNAcentral's name for it is "partial 16S ribosomal RNA". It matches the Rfam family "Bacterial small subunit ribosomal RNA", at positions 32 to 523 of the family's 1533-position model. The record is from RNAcentral.